Molecule: long non-coding RNA, 602 nt
Organism: Solanum lycopersicum (tomato)
Lineage: Eukaryota; Viridiplantae; Streptophyta; Magnoliopsida; Solanales; Solanaceae
Source: RefSeq, a predicted model, not a curated record
CAAAAUUUGUGACCGUUUUCUUCAUCAUCUAAGACAAAGCAGAGGGGUUCUCUGGUGAUUUUUGAUAGAGAAAACGUUUUCUUCUUCGGUUGUGGCAUCAAGCGACCGUUUCAGUGGUGGAAUCUUUGUUGCGGUUCGAAAAAAUGAGGAGAGGCCUGAGUACUGGGUGCUGGAGAUGUUGCGUAAAGAUUGGCUUGUUUGAUGGGUUAUUGUCAUGAAAGUUGUCGAGGUGAAGCAGACCAAGGCCAAGCAGGGGCUGCGGAGUUGUAUUUUCUGCAGGGUGAGAAUAACAGCCAUCCCAAGUGCUUAUUUUUUUUGACACGUAGUUUACACAAUAUGAUUCAGUUAUAAAAUCAUAAUUCUGAUGUGUUUUCAUUUGUUUUUGUAUGUGACACCGGCAUUGAGACUUAUUCGAGUGAAAGGAGAAGUAGAUGAUACACACUAGUAUAUUAUAUACAGUGAUGGGCAAAGGCUAAAUUGCAGCAGCAGAGACCCAAACCCUCAGUAUAGCCCAAAAAAUUGUGACUUCCUUCCUCCCAAUUUUUUAUAGCUUUAAUUGUAAUUAUUUGCAUAAAUCUAACUUAAGCUUUAGUUUAAUUUAA